This 497-nucleotide ribosomal RNA is filed under the name uncultured bacterium. RNAcentral describes it as "partial 16S ribosomal RNA". It matches the Rfam family "Bacterial small subunit ribosomal RNA", at positions 28 to 507 of the family's 1533-position model. The record is from RNAcentral.
GAUGAACGCUGGCGGCGUGCCUAAUACAUGCAAGUCGAGCGAACGGACGAGAAGCUUGCGUCUCUGAUGUUAGCGGCGGACGGGUGAGUAACACGUGGAUAACGUACCUAUAAGACUGGGAUAACUUCGGGAAACCGGAGCUAAUACCGGAUAAUAUUUUGAACCGCAGGGGUGAAAAGUGAAAGACGGUCUUGCUGUCACUUAUAGAUGGAUCCGCGCUGCAUUAGCUAGUUGGUGAGGUAACGGCCUACUAAGGGAACGAUGCAUAACCGAGCUGACAGGGUGGUCGGCCACCCUGGAACUUAGACACGGUCCAGACUCCUACGGUAGGCAGCAGUAGGGAAUCUUCCGCAAUGGGCGGAAGUCUGACGGAGUGACGCCGCGCGAGUGAUGAAGGUCUUCGGAUCGUAAUACUCUGUUACUAGUGAAGAACAUAUGUGUAAGUAACUGUGCCCAUCUUGACGGUACCUAAUCAGAAAGCCACGGCUAACUACGUG